RNAcentral lists this ribosomal RNA (487 nucleotides) under uncultured bacterium. Its description in RNAcentral is "bacterial SSU rRNA". It matches the Rfam family "Bacterial small subunit ribosomal RNA", at positions 30 to 514 of the family's 1533-position model. The record is from RNAcentral.
AUUGAACGCUGGCGGAAUGCUUUACACAUGCAAGUCGAACGGUAGAGGGGGCAACCCCUUGAGAGUGGCGAACGGGUGAGUAAUAUAUCGGAACGUGCCCAGUCGUGGGGAUAACGUAGCGAAAGUUACGCUAAUACCGCAUACGAUCUAAGGAUGAAAGCGGGGGACUCGCAAGAGCCUCGCGCGAUUGGAGCGGCCGAUAUCAGAUUAGGUAGUUGGUGGGGUAAAGGCUCACCAAGCCAACGAUCUGUAGCUGGUCUGAGAGGACGACCAGCCACACUGGAACUGAGACACGGUCCAGACUCCUACGGGAGGCAGCAGUGGGGAAUUUUGGACAAUGGACGCAAGUCUGAUCCAGCCAUUCCGCGUGCAGGAUGAAGGCCCUCGGGUCGUAAACUGCUUUUGUACGGAACGAAAGGUUUCUAUUAAUACUAGGAGCUCAUGACGGUACCGUAAGAAUAAGCACCGGCUAACUACGUGCCAGCAG